GACGAACGCUGGCGGCGUGCCUAAUACAUGCAAGUAGAACGCUGAAGGAGGAGCUUGCUCUUCUGGAUGAGUUGCGAACGGGUGAGUAACGCGUAGGUAACCUGCCUGGUAGCGGGGGAUAACUAUUGGAAACGAUAGCUAAUACCGCAUAACAGUAGAUGUUGCAUGACAUUUGCUUAAAAGGUGCAAUUGCACCACUACCAGAUGGACCUGCGUUGUAUUAGCUAGUUGGUGGGGUAACGGCUCACCAAGGCGAGGAUACAUAGCCGGCCGGAGAGGGGGAGCGGCCACACUGGGACUGAGACACGGCCCAGACUCCUUCGGGAAGCAGCAGUAGGGAAUCUUCGGCAAUGGACGGAAGUCUGACCGAGCAACGCCGCGUGAGUGAAGAAGGUUUUCGGGUCGUAAAGCUCUGUUGUAAGAGAAGAAAGAGUGUGAGAGUGGAAAGUUCACACUGUGACGGUAUCUUACCAGAAAGGGACGGCUAACUACGUG
This 495-nucleotide ribosomal RNA is filed under the name uncultured bacterium. RNAcentral describes it as "partial 16S ribosomal RNA". It matches the Rfam family "Bacterial small subunit ribosomal RNA", at positions 28 to 507 of the family's 1533-position model. The record is from RNAcentral.